This 302-nucleotide ribosomal RNA is filed under the name uncultured bacterium. RNAcentral's name for it is "partial 16S ribosomal RNA". It matches the Rfam family "Bacterial small subunit ribosomal RNA", at positions 508 to 807 of the family's 1533-position model. The record is from RNAcentral.
GCAGCCGCCGCGGUAAUACAGAGGGUGCGAGCGUUAAUCGGAUUUACUGGGCGUAAAGCGUGCGUAGGCGGCUUCUUAAGUCGGAUGUGAAAUCCCUGAGCUUAACUUAGGAAUUGCAUUCGAUACUGGGAAGCUAGAGUAUGGGAGAGGAUGGUAGAAUUCCAGGUGUAGCGGUGAAAUGCGUAGAGAUCUGGAGGAAUACCGAUGGCGAAGGCAGCCAUCUGGCCUAAUACUGACGCUGAGGUACGAAAGCAUGGGGAGCAAACAGGAUUAGAUACCCCAGUAGUCCCUGUCUCUUAUAC